Molecule: ribosomal RNA, 429 nt
Filed under: bacterium
Lineage: Bacteria
Description: partial 16S ribosomal RNA
Rfam family: Bacterial small subunit ribosomal RNA
Source: RNAcentral
UAGGGAAUCUUCCACAAUGGACGCAAGUCUGAUGGAGCAACGCCGCGUGAGUGAAGAAGGUUUUCGGAUCGUAAAGCUCUGUUGUUGGUGAAGAAGGAUAGAGGCAGUAACUGAUCUUUAUUUGACGGUAAUCAACCAGAAAGUCACGGCUAACUACGUGCCAGCAGCCGCGGUAAUACGUAGGUGGCAAGCGUUGUCCGGAUUUAUUGGGCGUAAAGCGAGCGCAGGCGGAAUGAUAAGUCUGAUGUGAAAGCCCACGGCUCAACCGUGGAACUGCAUCGGAAACUGUCAUUCUUGAGUGCAGAAGAGGAGAGUGGAAUUCCAUGUGUAGCGGUGGAAUGCGUUGAUAUAUGGAAGAACACCAGUGGCGAAGGCGGCUCUCUGGUCUGCAACUGACGCUGGGGCUCGAAAGCAUGGGUAGCGAACAGG